Molecule: transfer RNA, 62 nt
Filed under: Asiomorpha coarctata
Lineage: Eukaryota; Metazoa; Arthropoda; Diplopoda; Polydesmida; Paradoxosomatidae
Description: tRNA-Ala
Source: RNAcentral
AGGUUUAUAGUUUAUGAGAAGAAUAUUUAAUUUGCGGUUAACAGGAGCUUUUGCUAAGCCUA